ACCUAAUAAUGCAACAGGCCACCUCUCACAUAUCCCGAGUGAGGAUUUUUUUUUUCUGACAUAGGUGGAUUUUCUGUGUUUUUUUCCAAAUCGCUCAAACGUACCAGUGUUUUGAAGGAAGUAGUGGCUCAUAGACUACCAAGCACCAGCACUGUCAGGUGGAACUUCCAUAGCCGUGCCAUUAACACAGUGUUUGAACACCGGGAGGCGCUAAUCCUGUGUUUUGAAAGAAUAAGGGACUGUGGUAACUUCAACCCCAAUACAAUGAGAGAAGCUGGAGCCUUAGCUAUGCUAUUGGAGAAUUCGGAUUUCAAGUUCUUUCUGGAACUUUUCCACCAAAUAAUGCGUCAUGUUGACAUUCUAUAUGCCAAGCUCCAGAAAAAAAAUGUCGACUCUGUUCACAUUAAACGCAGCAUGGAGCAGUUCCAGAGCGAGAUACAAAGAAUCAGAAAUGCUGUUCAUUCCUUGACUGAGAGCAGUGGAUCUCAACCAGGAAAGAGGAGACGGAAGCUAAAUCCAGAUGAGCGUAGUAGGAUUGCAGCAGAGGUCUGCGACACAAUUCUGAGAGGUUCUCCUUCA
This is a long non-coding RNA of Melanotaenia boesemani (Boeseman's rainbowfish), 579 nucleotides long. RefSeq lists it as uncharacterized. The transcript is spliced from 3 exons. The record is from RefSeq and is a predicted model, not a curated record. NCBI's taxonomy places the organism in Eukaryota, Metazoa, Chordata, Actinopteri, Atheriniformes, Melanotaeniidae.